AUGGCGGAGGAACCGUCCACCAAGCAUCAUCAUGGCGAGACGUCGGACAAGAGCAGCAACCUCGUCGACGUUCACGUCCCCGACGAGAAGCGUGAGUACACCAAAACCCUCACAGGGGUUGAGCUCCACGGCAAGGAGACGCUAGAGAUCGUCUGCACCAGCGAACCAGACAAGGCCGACGAGAUGAUCUCCAAGCUCUGGAGGAAGGCUGGCGGCUCGCAUCGUAAGACCGUCGGCCUUGGUGUGCACUACACCAGGGAAGACGAACCUCCCCAGAUGGCAGCAGUCCUGCAGUUGUGCAUGGAGGAACUCUGCCUGGUGUACCACAUCGCAGCGGCCACGAAAUGGUGA
This 351-nucleotide ribosomal RNA is filed under the name Triticum aestivum (bread wheat). RNAcentral describes it as "partial small subunit ribosomal RNA". The record is from RNAcentral. Lineage: Eukaryota; Viridiplantae; Streptophyta; Magnoliopsida; Poales; Poaceae.